AACCCCACCAAUGGGCAAAGGGACAUCUUGGUGGAAUGUUCUUAUAUCAGUCAUGGGCAGAGCAGAUGGCAGUCCCUUGUUCAUCCUGGCUUGAUACUUGGCAUGUGGCCAAAGCUGUUUUAUGCCAAGGACACAUAA
This is a small nucleolar RNA of Rattus norvegicus (Norway rat), 138 nucleotides long. Ensembl annotates it as small nucleolar RNA SNORA48. NCBI's taxonomy places the organism in Eukaryota, Metazoa, Chordata, Mammalia, Rodentia, Muridae. The record is from Ensembl.